UCCAGACUCCUACGGGAGGCAGCAGUGGGGAAUUUUGGACAAUGGGCGCAAGCCUGAUCCAGCAAUGCCGCGUGAGUGAAGAAGGCCUUCGGGUUGUAAAGCUCUUUUGUCAGGGAAGAAACGGUGGGGGCUAAUAUCCUCUGCUAAUGACGGUACCUGAAGAAUAAGCACCGGCUAACUACGUGCCAGCAGCCGCGGUAAUACGUAGGGUGCAAGCGUUAAUCGGAAUUACUGGGCGUAAAGCGUGCGCAGGCGGUUUUGUAAGACU
This 268-nucleotide ribosomal RNA is filed under the name Duganella vulcania. RNAcentral's name for it is "partial 16S ribosomal RNA". It matches the Rfam family "Bacterial small subunit ribosomal RNA", at positions 330 to 590 of the family's 1533-position model. The record is from RNAcentral. Lineage: Bacteria; Pseudomonadati; Pseudomonadota; Betaproteobacteria; Burkholderiales; Oxalobacteraceae.